GCACAGGAGCGGCAGGCAGCUAGGUGUUACGCACCUGUGUACUAGCGCCUCUUAAUGGGCGCACCGUUUAAUGUCAAAUUGCAGGUUGGGCCUGCAGCCUCAGCAGAUACGCAGCAGUGGCGUAGCAGCCCAGCAUAGAUGCAGUCAUCAUUCCCGGCCCCUCACAGUCUCCUCCUCAGCGUACUGUGAUAGUACUUCCUCCUCCUACUCCACUGUUGCCAUACAGCUUCCUCCCCUCCUCUGCUCUGCCCCCGAUCCAUCCCAUACUUUGCCUCCAUGCCUGAGUUUGUUUCUGCAGCAGGUUGCAGGGCGGCUGUCUGUCUCUCCCCAUCUAACCUAGCCUUUUGUCCGUCCUGCGGCUCCUCCUCCCCUCCUGAUCCAUGCUGCCAGUGUCUUUUAUUUACUAUUACGGCAGGCUGAUCUGAGGUCACACAGACUACAGCACAAUGACAGCGAUGAGGUGCCCACCUUCCCGCACCUCUAAGCGUCGGCGAUCCUGCAGCGCUGGCCUGAUAACAGAGUUGAGGCGCUGGGAGGGCACACCUGGAGCAGAGAGGAGCAGAAAACUGAGGAGCCAAAGAGUACACAGGAGACUCUAGGAUGAAGACAGAGCAAUAUGACUCAAGGGACAGAAAAGCGUCUUAUAGUGGCGCACAGCAAAGAGGAAAGGCGCUACAUAGCUUCCACAGUUCCGACAAGGGAAAAUACUAGGGUCAACAAUAUUCCUUGAAGUCACUGACUUGCCCAAGUACACAGGAAGCCGGGCCUGGGAACGUUCCCCCCAGUUUUAUGGAAAAGGCAAUGUACAUGUAGACCAAGAUGGAGGUUGCUACCAUGGCGCAGUACGGAGAAGGCACCAGGACUAUUUCCAGGAGCUAACAGUUGCCGUUCUGCAUCUUUUCUCGUAAUGUCCUUGAAAAACCAUCUGAGAAAUAAACAGUAGAAUGACCAUGAAUAUCUGAAGACCUUCAGUAUUACAAGACAACUGUAUAAAACACAGGAACUUACUCUUCUG
Long non-coding RNA from Pseudophryne corroboree (corroboree frog), 1015 nucleotides. RefSeq lists it as uncharacterized. NCBI's taxonomy places the organism in Eukaryota, Metazoa, Chordata, Amphibia, Anura, Myobatrachidae. The record is from RefSeq and is a predicted model, not a curated record. The transcript is spliced from 5 exons.